CGGCGGAGCUGCUGGCUCCCUAUAUUGGCGAUAUCGCCGCCGAGGGGCUGGGCAAAAUCGUUCGCGGUGGCGCCUCUCUCCUGCUUAAAGGGGCCAAACGCCAGCAGCGUUACGCGGCGGAAGUGGUAACCGAAGAGUGGCGUCUGGCGCCAGGGCCACUUGAAGUGGCCUGGUUUGCCGAAGAGACCGCCGCCGUUGAACGCGCGGCUGAUGCACUGGCGAAACGCCUGGAAAAACUGGAGGGCAAAUGA
Molecule: small RNA, 251 nt
Filed under: uncultured Enterobacter sp.
Lineage: Bacteria; Pseudomonadati; Pseudomonadota; Gammaproteobacteria; Enterobacterales; Enterobacteriaceae
Description: Erse small RNA
Rfam family: Erse small RNA
Source: RNAcentral